RNAcentral lists this ribosomal RNA (787 nucleotides) under uncultured bacterium. RNAcentral describes it as "bacterial SSU rRNA". It matches the Rfam family "Bacterial small subunit ribosomal RNA", at positions 8 to 796 of the family's 1533-position model. The record is from RNAcentral.
AGAGUUUGAUCCUGGCUCAGGAUGAACGCUAGCGGGAGGCUUAACACAUGCAAGUCGAGCGGGAUUGGUAGCAAUACCAUGAGAGCGGCGCACGGGUGCGUAACGCGUAUGCAACCUGCCUUAUACAAAGGGAUAGCCCAUGGAAACGUGGAUUAAUAUCUUAUAGGACUUAUGAAUCGCAUGGUUUAUAAGUUAAAACUGAGGUGGUAUAAGAUGGGCAUGCGUCUGAUUAGGUAGUUGGUAGGGUAACGGCCUACCAAGCCGACGAUCAGUAGGGGUUCUGAGAGGAUUACCCCCCACACUGGUACUGAGACACGGACCAGACUCCUACGGGAGGCAGCAGUGAGGAAUAUUGGUCAAUGGGCGAAAGCCUGAACCAGCCAUCCCGCGUGCAGGAUGACGGCCCUAUGGGUUGUAAACUGCUUUUGUGCAGGAAGAACGUCCCGAUCGUGAUCGGGAGUGACGGUACUGCAUGAAUAAGCACCGGCUAACUCCGUGCCAGCAGCCGCGGUAAUACGGAGGGUGCAAGCGUUAUCCGGAUUUAUUGGGUUUAAAGGGUGCGUAGGCGGUAAAAUAAGUCAGUGGUGAAAAGCUGCAGCUCAACUGUAGUCCUGCCAUUGAAACUGUUUUACUUGAGUAACCAUGAGGUAGGCGGAAUGUGUAGUGUAGCGGUGAAAUGCUUAGAUAUUACACAGAACACCGAUUGCGUAGGCAGCUUACUAGAGGUUCACUGACGCUGAUGCACGAAAGCGUGGGGAUCAAACAGGAUUAGAUACCCUGGUAGUCC